Molecule: ribosomal RNA, 468 nt
Filed under: uncultured bacterium
Lineage: Bacteria
Description: partial 16S ribosomal RNA
Rfam family: Bacterial small subunit ribosomal RNA
Source: RNAcentral
GACGAACGCUGGCGGCGUGCUUAACACAUGCAAGUCGAACGGAAAGGCCCUGCUUUUGUGGGGUGCUCGAGUGGCGAACGGGUGAGCAACACGUGAGUAACCUGCCCUUGACUUUGGGAUAACUUCAGGAAACUGGGGCUAAUACCGGAUAGGAGCUCCUGCUGCAUGGUGGGGGUUGGAAAGUUUCGGCGGUUGGGGAUGGACUCGCGGCUUAUCAGCUUGUUUGUGGGGUAGUGGCUUACCAAGGCUUUGACGGGUAGCCGGCCUGAGAGGGUGACCGGCCACAUUGGGACUGAGAUACGGCCCAGACUCCUACGGGAGGCAGCAGUGGGGAAUAUUGCACAAUGGGCGGAAGCCUGAUGCAGAAACGCCGCGUGCGGGAUGACGGCCUUCGGGUUGUAAACCGCUUUCGCCUGUGACGAAGCGUGAGUGACGGUAAUGGGUAAAGAAGCACCGGCUAACUACGUG